Molecule: non-coding RNA, 139 nt
Organism: Caenorhabditis elegans
Lineage: Eukaryota; Metazoa; Nematoda; Chromadorea; Rhabditida; Rhabditidae
Source: Ensembl
UAUGGUUUUCAAUUUUGAAAACACCUAUAGGCGUGAAAGACAUGUUUUCUGCCCUUCCCGACAUGUUCAUAUUUCACAGACUAUCCGAAACCCAAUUGAAACAUAUUCGCUUUACCAAAUUACACACACACGCACACAU